Molecule: long non-coding RNA, 710 nt
Organism: Episyrphus balteatus (marmalade hoverfly)
Lineage: Eukaryota; Metazoa; Arthropoda; Insecta; Diptera; Syrphidae
Exons: 5
Source: RefSeq, a predicted model, not a curated record
UGAGUAAGACAUAAAGAAAACUUGUUGAGAUAAUCCCAGAGAUUAUUUUAAGUGAUAAUUUUUUUUGCAUCUGUAUUAGGAUUGUUAUUGUUAACAUAAACCAGAAAUUUAAUUUGCAAAUUGAUGGUUGGAGAGAAGUCUUAAAAUGCGCUUAGGAUAGAAGAUGAGAGUAAUUAAAGGAGGCUGGUACUUCAGAUGUUUUGAGUAGCUGUAGAGCAGGCUAGCGAAUAUUAUACCUACUCCUAUAAUAGUGCAUGUUUAAUUGUAUAUGACAAUUACAUAUCCUAUGAAUUCGUAAGAAAAUUGAAAAAUACGACUUUUUCUAAUAGUACAAAUAAUAUCUUCAAUUUCGGGUGCAUAUACUAAGUCUAAGAGCCCAUAGCAAAUUUUGGGAGUGGAGGUAUAACCAAAAUUCUGGCAGCUUUAAAUCGCGGCUUGAUAUGGUUUCUGAGGGGUUAAAUAUCGCGAGUUUUCCAAUUAAUGUGAGUAGGCUAAAUUAACACAAAAUCACAUUCUGAAUAUAAGGACUGAUGCUCUGUCAUUUCCCCAAAGCCUGAAGACAUCAAACUUGACAGUGCGAUCAAUAGAACUCAAGAUAUGUAUUGAAACAGUACAUAAACCAAAGAACAAAAUUGUUAAAAAAAGUAGACAGCGGAAACAUUUUAAACUCAAUUCGAAAUUAAAAAACUGCAAAUAAAAGUCUAUUGUGU